UCUCUUUGCUGAACCUUGAUAUUAGUUUCUCUUUAAACUCCUUCCAACUUCGAAAUCCUCGCCGGUGUGUCUCGCUGUUAAACCAACUCAGAACAUCUCCCACUAGACUCACCGAAACUACAUCAAGCUUCGAUCUCUCAUCAAAACCUGCAAUCCUGAAGUACCUCUCCGCUAACGCGAACCAUCCAUACGCAUCUUCACCGUCAAACACCGGUAGUUCUACUCUC
This 227-nucleotide long non-coding RNA is filed under the name Brassica napus (rape). Its description in RNAcentral is "long non-coding RNA (BNAP_LNC008089)". Lineage: Eukaryota; Viridiplantae; Streptophyta; Magnoliopsida; Brassicales; Brassicaceae. The record is from RNAcentral.